UCAGGUUGAGCCAAACAAGGAGAUUAUGCAAUCCAGAUUGUAGACUACGCGAAUUUCGUUGCAAGCCCGAAAAAAAGAAUAUUAUGCUUGUACUAAUAUAUUGGAUUUUUUAGCUGAACAAAAAUGCAUAUAAUCAAACAUGUAAAAAUAGUGAGGAUGAAAUCAAUAUUGAAUAUGAAACUAAAUAUUCCUAAUCAAAAUUUAAUAUUUGUAUAAAAAAUAGUUAAUACAAAGACAUAAUAAUAAUCUACUAAACACUGAAGGUUCUAGUCGCGGCCGAAUAUGUUACCAUUGUGACACAAAUAUCAAUUGUCAAAUAAUGCUCAAUAACUUGUUCCGACGCGAAUAUACUUUAAUCCGACAUUAUAAAAUAUAUUUUUUUGAUGACAUUUAGACUGCAGAUGUACCAAUGUAACAAAUUAUUUACACUAAAGUUAAGCAUUUUAUAAGUUCUCGGACCAAUUUGUACCCACCUAUCAAGUUAUUGUACUAGAUUGAGCAUUUUACAAGUUGUUGGAUCAAUAUACCCUACAUGAUAUGAUAAG
RNAcentral lists this long non-coding RNA (545 nucleotides) under Setaria viridis. RNAcentral describes it as "long non-coding RNA (SVIR_LNC006107)". The record is from RNAcentral. Lineage: Eukaryota; Viridiplantae; Streptophyta; Magnoliopsida; Poales; Poaceae.